GAGCUAUGAAGAAACUUGGCUUAAGCGAUGGUUGGGUCCUUCGCAUUCAUCUGAUAUCCAGACGAUAUAUAGCCGUAAUCCUGAGCUC
Small nucleolar RNA from Raphanus sativus (radish), 88 nucleotides. RefSeq annotates it as small nucleolar RNA snoR114. Lineage: Eukaryota; Viridiplantae; Streptophyta; Magnoliopsida; Brassicales; Brassicaceae. The transcript has a single exon. The record is from RefSeq and is a predicted model, not a curated record.